CGGACCGGCGCACGGGUGAGUAACACGUAUGGAACCUGCCCUAUGCAGGGGGAUAAGCGGAAGAAAUUCCGUCUAAUACCGCAUAACACCUUUAGGAGACAUCUUCUUGGGGUCAAAGGAGGCGACUCCGGCAUAGGAUGGCCAUGCGUCGCAUUAGCUAGUCGGCGGGGUAACGGCCCACCGAGGCGACGAUGCGUAGGGGUUCUGAGAGGAAGGCCCCCCACACUGGUACUGAGACACGGACCAGACUCCUACGGGAGGCAGCAG
This 267-nucleotide ribosomal RNA is filed under the name uncultured bacterium. RNAcentral's name for it is "partial 16S ribosomal RNA". It matches the Rfam family "Bacterial small subunit ribosomal RNA", at positions 91 to 354 of the family's 1533-position model. The record is from RNAcentral.